CAAGUAAGCUUGACGGUCGCGGGUAUAAACCGAAAGGUCGUAUCUGAGGAAAGUCCGGGCUCCGUAGGGCAAGGGUGCCGGGUAACACCCGGUGGAGGCAACUCUAAGGAAAGUGCAACAGAAAAUUACCGCCGGUUUUGCCGGUAAGGAUGAAAAGGCGAGGUAAGAGCUCACCGCUGCUACGGUAACGCAGCAGGCUGUGUAAACCCCAUCCGGAGCAACACCGCUAUGGGACUAUUGUUUGCCCGACAGUCUCUUUGGUGGCACGAAUGCUGCAGUGAUGCAGUGUCUAGAUAGAUGACCGUCCAUUGACAGAACCCGGCUUACUGCUUGCUUGCAUU
Molecule: RNase P RNA, 341 nt
Filed under: Oscillospiraceae bacterium
Lineage: Bacteria; Bacillati; Bacillota; Clostridia; Eubacteriales; Oscillospiraceae
Description: RNase P RNA component class A
Rfam family: Bacterial RNase P class A
About the family: Ribonuclease P (RNase P) is a ubiquitous endoribonuclease, found in archaea, bacteria and eukarya as well as chloroplasts and mitochondria.
Source: RNAcentral